GAUGAAGAACGUAGCGAAAUGCGAUAAGUAAUGUGAAUUGCAGAAUUCAGUGAAUCAUCGAAUCUUUGAACGCACAUUGCGCCCCUUGGUAUUCCGAGGGGCAUGCCUGUUCGAGCGUCAUUAUAACCCCUCAAGCUCAGCUUGGUGUUGGGGCCUGCUGCACCGGCAGCCCUUAAAAUCAGUGGCGGCGCCAUCUGGCUCUAAGCGUAGUAAUUCUUCUCGCUAUGGAGUCCUGGUGGAUGCUUGCCAUCAACCCCCAAUUUUUCUAUGGUUGACCUCGGAUCAGGUAGGGAUACCCGCUGAACUUAAGCAUAUCAAUAAGCGGAGGA
RNAcentral lists this unclassified non-coding RNA (329 nucleotides) under soil metagenome. Its description in RNAcentral is "partial contains 5.8S ribosomal RNA, internal transcribed spacer 2, and large subunit ribosomal RNA". The stretch from base 1 to 120 matches the Rfam family "5.8S ribosomal RNA", at positions 35 to 154 of the family's 154-position model. The record is from RNAcentral.